This 252-nucleotide ribosomal RNA is filed under the name uncultured bacterium. Its description in RNAcentral is "partial 16S ribosomal RNA". It matches the Rfam family "Bacterial small subunit ribosomal RNA", at positions 524 to 776 of the family's 1533-position model. The record is from RNAcentral.
UACGGAGGAUCCGAGCGUUAUCCGGAUUUAUUGGGUUUAAAGGGUGCGCAGGCGGCACGGCAAGCCGGCGGUCAAAUCGCGGGGCUCAACCCCGCCCAGCCGUCGGAACUGCCGGGCUAGAGUGGGCGAGAAGUGCGCGGAAUGCGUGGUGUAGCGGUGAAAUGCAUAGAUGUCACGCAGAACUCCGAUUGCGAAGGCAGCGCACCGGCGCCCUACUGACGCUCAGGCACGAAAGCGUGGGUAUCGAACAGG